UCGAAGGUUUUUUUUUGGGAU
This is a non-coding RNA of Caenorhabditis elegans, 21 nucleotides long. The record is from Ensembl. NCBI's taxonomy places the organism in Eukaryota, Metazoa, Nematoda, Chromadorea, Rhabditida, Rhabditidae.